Molecule: non-coding RNA, 87 nt
Organism: Podarcis lilfordi (Lilford's wall lizard)
Lineage: Eukaryota; Metazoa; Chordata; Lepidosauria; Squamata; Lacertidae
Source: the annotation of a GenBank genome assembly
UCUCCAGCUGUUUUUGGACUACAACUCCCAUCAUCCCUGACCCCAAGCAAGAGAUGAUGGGAGUUGUAGUCCAAAAGUAGCUGGAGA